GGGCUAUAUGAAGAGUUUGGUUCCAAAACGCAAUAAACGCCAUUUUUGAAAAAAAUGAGUUACUGCCAAAAUCAGUAUUAUAUCAGGUCAGUAGUUAAAAGUAAAUAAUUAAUUUUACGCAAAAUCCAAUACCCGCCGUGAUAUUCUGUCAUCUUUUCUCCCUUUUUUCCCAAAAUGCGACAAACGCCACUGCUCCUUUUUUACAGAAUGCAAUAAAUCCAUUUCUGAUAUUACAGCGGACCAUUCACGCAAUGUAAACAAACAUGGCGGCGCGCUGAGUACACGGAGUCCUAGUUUUCCUCAUCUACUUUGUACUUCGUGAUCAACAAACAAAACAAAAUAAUACUUUAAUAGCAUUGCCAAACCUGUGAUGGUUUUCUGUGACGGGAAAGAAACGUAAGCCAUCAACAGCUAAUAAUUUCUGCGAGAGGCACUCGGUUGCUUGUUCUCCAGACAGCAUCAAGCUUCUCAUGCUAAAACAUUGUGUUCUUAAUAUAACAAAGUAAGUAUUUUGGUUAAUGCCAUUAAUGUUUAUUUUUUAAUCAUUGUAUACCACUAGUCAACUAAAUAAAUAUAAAAUGGUAAAGAUGAAUGCACAUUUAUACAUUGAUUUAAUAGAUUUAUAGCAUUUUGAAAUAAAAAACUGUCAUGGAUUUAUUGCAUUUUGUGGAAAAAAGAAUUCGUUUUUAUAAUAAAUCUUUGAAAAUCAAGUUAUGGAUUUGAAUUUUUUAUGUUUUUAUAACCUAAAGAUGCUAUGUGAAAGUUUGUAACAGAAAAUACUGGUUUUCAUCUUGUCACUUUCUUGGUAUAGAAAACACGUUUUUACCGAAAUUUGUCAAAAUGGAUUUAUUGCGUUUUGGAACCAAACUCUUCAAUAUAUAUAUAUAUAUAUAUAUAUAUAUAUAGGUCUGAUAGAUAGGUCCUGACCUAUGAUCCUGACCCACACUCCUAAUCAGUAGGUGGCGGUAAUGCCACUAAAAGUUGUUUGCCAACUGCCAGUAAAACUCAAGAAGAAGAAGAAGGCUGAUGUCAGCAGGCUCCAAGGAAACUUCAAGUUUUAAAAGAUGCUGUUUUAAAACAGUUUCCUAUAAGGCCAAGGAAGCUGAUGUCAGAAAAUCUAUCAACAGUAGAAUCUGCAAGCUAAUGGCAUUAAGACACCAGGUGAAGAGCAAAAGCAUGGGUAUGUAAGUGGUUUACAUCAGUGAAGAUCCAAGGUGGACUCCUAACCAGGAUAAUGGACUGUUCUUUUGGCAAUUUUUUUUUUUUUUUUUGCUUUUUCACGGUUCCCAAAACUUCUUGAAAGUUUGUUUAUUAUUUAUUUGUUCAUUAUUGUCUGUGCAUUUUGUUUAUUGAUAUUGUCUUUAUUGAUAUUGUCUUUAUAUUGUAUAAUGGCACUGCUGAAAUUUUGAAAUGGAAAUUGGUAAUUUAAGUUGCUUUAAUUUAUAUUUUGUAUAUUUUUUGUUUAAUGGCACUCUUUUAAAAUGUAAUUUAUGUAAAUGCAAUGCAACACAUUUAUGUAAUGUAAUGUAAAGCCAAUCACAUUUCCUUUGACUGACCAUAUGCAAAACCUCUUGUGGUUUUAAUAGGCCUAUAGAGCUCUGUACCUCAAAUUGGGUUUAGUAUCUGUGCCUGAUUAAAAGAAAAUAAAGGUGGCUUUUGAUAGAUUA
Molecule: non-coding RNA, 1667 nt
Organism: Misgurnus anguillicaudatus (oriental weatherfish)
Lineage: Eukaryota; Metazoa; Chordata; Actinopteri; Cypriniformes; Cobitidae
Source: RefSeq, a predicted model, not a curated record